Molecule: transfer RNA, 76 nt
Filed under: TM7 phylum sp. oral taxon 346
Lineage: Bacteria; Candidatus Saccharimonadota
Also listed under: 8 other names
Description: tRNA-Ala
Rfam family: tRNA
About the family: Transfer RNA (tRNA) molecules are approximately 80 nucleotides in length. Their secondary structure includes four short double-helical elements and three loops (D, anti-codon, and T loops).
Source: RNAcentral
GGGGAUAUAGCUCAGCUGAUAGAGCGCAGCAUUCGCAUUGCUGAGGUCGAGGGUUUGAGUCCCUCUAUCUCCACCA